Long non-coding RNA from Panicum hallii, 411 nucleotides. RefSeq lists it as uncharacterized. The transcript has 2 exons. Lineage: Eukaryota; Viridiplantae; Streptophyta; Magnoliopsida; Poales; Poaceae. The record is from RefSeq and is a predicted model, not a curated record.
GAGGCCCAAGCCGGUGCCCAAAUCCCAAACGUGCGGCUCCGCGGGCCGCUCACCAUCACUCCUGGCGGCGGGAUGCAGAGCGGAGGCGGAGGCGGGCUAGCAACACAGAUCCAGGCAGCAGCUGGGUGGGGCGAUGCGCCGAUGAUGCCGCAGCAGCGUAAGCAAACAGAUAAGUUUGGCUGCCUGCACUUGAUGAUUCAGCUUUGAAAGCCACUGUCGAUUGAUGUGUAAUCUUAAUCAGGAAUUCAAGACAGAAAACCCUGAUUCUUCUUCUUUUUUUUUACUUUUGUAUAUGCAUAGGGGUGGUGCUAUGUUAGGUAGCUCCAUCAGUUCAUCUUAAGAAACUUUUCUGCUCGAAAUCUAUCUCUCCUCUGUUGAGUAAAUUAUAUCUUGUGCAGUAACUGUAAUCCA